UAAUUCCACUUUUAUUAAUAGUUUUUUUUGUUUUUUACAACUUCUAAUUGCUAAAAAGUAUUUAACCGAAGUGAUCAAACAAUUUUGUAUUUAUUACAUGUAAAGGAAGAAAAAUGUCUUCAGUGUUGUAUUUUUUUUAUGCUUUGAGUAUAUUUCUUUCUCUUUUUCUCAUUGUAGCCGACCACGGUAACAAAAAUUCACACCAUUUUCAAAUUUCUAAUUCAUUUUAUAUUUAUACACAAUAUUUAAUCAACACUUGGUAAACUUUCAUUUGUUUUUAUUUGAUAUUUCAGGUUCCAUUACUUGCAAUGAUCAUUCUUCUUGUACAAAAUUUCCGUGCAUUUAUCCGGAAAUUCCAAAGUGUGUUACUAAUAUAUGUAAGUGCGUCAUAAUAUUAUAGAGAAGUGCUAAAUAUUAUGAGAGAUUUCAUAAAGAAUUGCAACAAAUCAACAUAGCUUGUUCUUUUAAAAAGGAACAUUUUUUUUUUGAAGACAAAAAGGAACAUAUUGUAACUCAAUUUCAUGGGUAGGUUGGGGUUGAAGUGAAUGUAAGGUGCAAGAGAAGACUUGUGGACUUAGAGAAUAAUGAAACUAAUAAGUCUUAUUUAAUUGUAUGUCCAUAAUUUGAUUAAGUGUUCCAUUUACUUUAUUGUCAUAAUUUAUUUUAAAGUCAUCAAAAGCACAUCAAGAGCACAACCCAACAAACGUGACUCAGGGUUCAAA
Molecule: long non-coding RNA, 722 nt
Filed under: Trifolium pratense (red clover)
Lineage: Eukaryota; Viridiplantae; Streptophyta; Magnoliopsida; Fabales; Fabaceae
Description: long non-coding RNA (TPRA_LNC003748)
Source: RNAcentral